This 480-nucleotide ribosomal RNA is filed under the name Streptococcus mitis. RNAcentral's name for it is "bacterial SSU rRNA". It matches the Rfam family "Bacterial small subunit ribosomal RNA", at positions 28 to 495 of the family's 1533-position model. The record is from RNAcentral. Lineage: Bacteria; Bacillati; Bacillota; Bacilli; Lactobacillales; Streptococcaceae.
GACGAACGCUGGCGGCGUGCCUAAUACAUGCAAGUAGAACGCUGAAGGAGGAGCUUGCUUCUCUGGAUGAGUUGCGAACGGGUGAGUAACGCGUAGGUAACCUGCCUGGUAGCGGGGGAUAACUAUUGGAAACGAUAGCUAAUACCGCAUAAGAGUAGAUGUUGCAUGACAUUUGCUUAAAAGGUGCAAUUGCAUCACUACCAGAUGGACCUGCGUUGUAUUAGCUAGUUGGUGAGGUAACGGCUCACCAAGGCAACGAUACAUAGCCGACCUGAGAGGGUGAUCGGCCACACUGGGACUGAGACACGGCCCAGACUCCUACGGGAGGCAGCAGUAGGGAAUCUUCGGCAAUGGACGGAAGUCUGACCGAGCAACGCCGCGUGAGUGAAGAAGGUUUUCGGAUCGUAAAGCCCUGUUGUAAGAGAAGAACGAGUGUGAGAGUGGAAAGUCACACUGUGACGUAUCUACCAGAAAGACGCA